GAUGAACGCUGGCUGCGUGCUUAACACAUGCAAUUCGAACGGAAAGGCUCCUGCUUGCCGGGGUACUCGAGUGGCGAACUGGUGAUUAACACGUUGGUUUUCUGCCCUUCACUUCGGGUUAAGCCUCGGAAACUGGGUCUAAUACCGGUUAGGCCGAUGGUUUGGAUGCCAUUGUGGAAAGUUUUUCGGUGUGGGUUUAGCUUGCGGCCUAUCAGCUUGUUGUUGGGGUAAUGGUCUACCAAGGCGUCGACGGGUAGCCGGCCUGAGAGGGUGUACGGCCACAAUGGGACAGAGAUGCGGCCAAGAAUCCUAAAGGAGGCAGCAGUGGAGAAUAUUGUGCAGAAGGCGCAAGGCUGAGGCAGAGACGAAGCGUGGGGGAUGACGGCCUUCGGGUUGUAAACACCUUUCGCGAGGGACGAAGCGCAAGUGAAGGUACCUGGAGAAGAAGCACCGGCUAACUAAGUG
Molecule: ribosomal RNA, 465 nt
Filed under: uncultured bacterium
Lineage: Bacteria
Description: partial 16S ribosomal RNA
Rfam family: Bacterial small subunit ribosomal RNA
Source: RNAcentral